UACGAAGGGUGCUAGCGUUGUUCGGAAUCAUUGGGCGUAAAGCGUGCGUAGGCGGUUUAGUAAGUCGAUUGUGAAAGCCCAGAGCUUAACUUUGGAAUUGCAAUCGAAACUACUAGACUAGAGUGUGGCGGGGGAUAGUGGAAUUCCUAGUGUAGGGGUGAAAUCCGUAGAUAUUAGGAGGAACACCAGUGGCGAAGGCGACUAUCUACACCAUUACUGACGCUAAGGUACGAAAGCGUGGGGAGCAAACAGG
Molecule: ribosomal RNA, 253 nt
Filed under: uncultured bacterium
Lineage: Bacteria
Description: partial 16S ribosomal RNA
Rfam family: Bacterial small subunit ribosomal RNA
Source: RNAcentral